This 578-nucleotide ribosomal RNA is filed under the name Daldinia loculata. RNAcentral describes it as "eukaryotic LSU rRNA". It matches the Rfam family "Eukaryotic large subunit ribosomal RNA", at positions 9 to 596 of the family's 3401-position model. The record is from RNAcentral. Lineage: Eukaryota; Fungi; Ascomycota; Sordariomycetes; Xylariales; Hypoxylaceae.
GAUUAGGUAGGAAUACCCGCUGAACUUAAGCAUAUCAAUAAGCGGAGGAAAAGAAACCAACAGGGAUUGCCCUAGUAACGGCGAGUGAAGCGGCAACAGCUCAAAUUUGAAAUCUGGCCCUAGCGGUCCGAGUUGUAAUUUGUAGAGGAUGCUUUUGGUUAGGUGCCUUCUGAGUUCCCUGGAACGGGACGCCAGAGAGGGUGAGAGCCCCGUACGGUUGGACACCGAGCCUCUAUAUAGCUCCUUCGACGAGUCGAGUAGUUUGGGAAUGCUGCUCUAAAUGGGAGGUAAAUUUCUUCUAAAGCUAAAUACCGGCCAGAGACCGAUAGCGCACAAGUAGAGUGAUCGAAAGAUGAAAAGUACUUUGAAAAGAGGGUUAAAUAGCACGUGAAAUUGUUGAAAGGGAAGCGUUUGCGACCAGACUUUUUCCAGGCGGAUCAUCCUGUGUUCUCACCGGUGCACUUCGCCUGGUUUAGGCCAGCAUCGGUUCUCUUAGGGGGAUAAAGGCCUGGGGAACGUAGCUCCUUCGGGAGUGUUAUAGCCCCUAGCGUAAUACCCUUCGGGGGACCGAGGAACGC